GACAGAGGGUGCAAACGUUGUUCGGAAUUACUGGGCGUAAAGCGCGUGUAGGCGGCUUAGCAAGUCGGAUGUGAAAGCCCUGGGCUUAACCCAGGAAGUGCACUCGAAACUGCUGAGCUUGAGUUCUGGAGAGGAAGGCGGAAUUCUCGGUGUAGAGGUGAAAUUCGUAGAUAUCGAGAGGAACACCGGUGGCGAAGGCGGCUUUCUGGACCGACACUGACGCUGAGGCGCGAAAGCUAGGGGAGCAAACGGG
This 253-nucleotide ribosomal RNA is filed under the name uncultured bacterium. RNAcentral's name for it is "partial 16S ribosomal RNA". It matches the Rfam family "Bacterial small subunit ribosomal RNA", at positions 524 to 776 of the family's 1533-position model. The record is from RNAcentral.